Varroa destructor (honeybee mite) is the source of this 2047-nucleotide long non-coding RNA. RefSeq lists it as uncharacterized. Lineage: Eukaryota; Metazoa; Arthropoda; Arachnida; Mesostigmata; Varroidae. The record is from RefSeq and is a predicted model, not a curated record.
CAUUUUUGCCGUCAUUAUGAAUGCUCACGGCCUCGUUCGCCCUGAUAGUCCCCUCGUUUUCUAUUGCCACUAGAAACAAGUUUUCGGUGAUGAAAGCGGGGACGACGUCAACGUCAAAGGAACACGUCCUACUCCAUUCUGCCAAUGACCUCGUUUUCGAGUCGAUAUUGCGGCUGUUUGUAACAAACCACAUUUGCCAGCUAUAUCGCCAAAACACGAAUGUACGUUAGCGUAAAGGAGUGAUAACUCUGAGUCCGAGGGAGCUUCCAAUCAGAUAUAGACGACACCAGCUAACUGCCCCAACGAAGUGCGUUCUAGAAGAUGAAACUGGACUGAAAUUACGGACAGAAGUUCGCCCCUGCGGUGCGCACAGCGUGCAGGAAUUGAAGUAAGGCUGCGCUCGAAUCAUAAAUCCCUAUGAUCCCGACCAAGAUACCAAAUAAGCCUGCCCGUCAACGUAUUGAACACCAACAGCGGUAAAUAACGAUUGUAAGCUGUCGCUUCCAAACGGUUCAUGCAAAUGAUUCAAGAGUAACGUGACAGGUGGUUCAAGAAACCAGUGUCAAGGCAUGUGCUGGCCGUAAUAUUGUUUGAAGACGUGAAUUAGAAAACAUUGACAGCCAGAGGACUGUGUUUAUAUCAGGAAGAUGUUGUGGCCGAAGGGAAAUCCAGUCAAAUCAAAUAGAUUCGCAAGUUAUUAUCAAGUAAUCUAGCGGGAGCCCAGCGGACGAUAUGAAUCGUCGCAUAAUAUCGUUAACUGGUAGACACUGUCGAGCGUGUCGAUAUAACAUCCACUUCUAAAUAGAAGGGUUUUAGCCUUGCCUUUACCUACGCCGUCCUAAAAGAUCACGUGUAAAAUGACCGUCUUAUUUGCCUUGUAAAGGGGCCUAUCAUAUAAACUGGUCCUGCAGUAUCACUGUCUGCGCAGUUUCUGUAAAACAGCACGCUGCAAAUCUUAAAUGUUGUAUUGUAAAUAUAACAAUGCCGUUAAUACUGCGUAGAAUGGGAGCUUUGAAGUUAUUUCCAUUUCCAUCUAGACGCCUGUACUCCAAGUCAUUGCUGUGAAAAUUACGAGUAAUCAUCACAACGGGACAAAAGUCGAAAACUCUGCCGCAAAGCAUUUUCAAUUCAACCGAUCCCUCUGGCGUUGUUCAGGAACCAGCCAAACGUAAUUCUCAAGGUCAAUACGGACGACGGAGAAAAUAUGCAACUUUACGGUGGAUUUGGAUGAAGAGGUUAUCAACUAGACGGAGCAUUUAUGCACAACCGUUUAAGAACAUAGCGUCCCAGUAGAUGGCUAGCACGGGGAGGUCCUCUAAAACACCCUGCCCGUUCCUCAGACUUGAGGCCUAUGGACUUCCUUGUGGGGACACCUUAAAAACAAGCUCUACCCUGAAAAGUCACCAACACUAGAAAACUUGGACCUUUUGUUUUAAUUUCUAAAUAAAUAGCCCACCGUUAUCAGCGGCGUAUUGACCAAAACGGUAAUCAUUUGGGACAUCCGCGAUAAGACGAAAGCUUACACACUUUGCGUGGAUCCUUCUAUGAUCUAAAUAUUUACUAUAUACAGACAAAAACUGAACUUAAAAUAAUUUCAUCUGAAUAUGUAUUUUUUGUACACCCAAUAGACACAAACAGUCCUAGGCACAUUUCAUCACUGCAACCGUAGUCAGCCCGUAUCUAUUGGUAUACUCAAACGAUUGACUCAGCGCUCCUUUUGAUGACUCAAGUUCGUGAACAGGAACAAACUACCAGCCCACCUACUAAAACGUUAACCAUAUCUUACUAUUUGCGUUUUUAUAGAGCACUCCCGCCCGCGCAUCGCACUUGAUUAAGCGCAGUUCCAUUUCUUAAAGCUACUAGCUUCACAGAUGCCUUACGUGUUGACGACUAUUCGUUAAGACGUAGCGACGCCAUUCUAACAAUUAGAGAACAUUGGCUUUGCGUUUCGGUCAGCCAUGUCCACGGACCGAAACUCAUUAGCGGUAUUAAUCAUCUCCCUUAGCGACACUUACCCUACAAACUAUUACCGCACAGAUGAAGAAAA